This 82-nucleotide transfer RNA is filed under the name Dinophyceae sp. MGD. Its description in RNAcentral is "tRNA-Tyr". It matches the Rfam family "tRNA". From Rfam's summary of the family: Transfer RNA (tRNA) molecules are approximately 80 nucleotides in length. Their secondary structure includes four short double-helical elements and three loops (D, anti-codon, and T loops). The record is from RNAcentral. Lineage: Eukaryota; Dinophyceae.
GGGACGAUGCUUGAGAGGUUAAUAAGGAUGGAUUGUAAAUCCAUUGGUUCUACCUACGCUGGUUCGAAUCCAGCUCGUCCCA